Molecule: long non-coding RNA, 316 nt
Organism: Helianthus annuus (common sunflower)
Lineage: Eukaryota; Viridiplantae; Streptophyta; Magnoliopsida; Asterales; Asteraceae
Exons: 3
Source: RefSeq, a predicted model, not a curated record
CGCAAAACUGUUUUCGACACAUCCCUAUCUCUCGCACACUCUCUCUCGGUAAUAUAGCCUGCCGAAGAUUGAAGUCCACCGGAGUUACAAAACGCCACCGGAGUUCUCCCAGAAUAAUCGAAGCACGCCGGACAACUUUCUUUCUCUCCCGCUGUCGGAUAAUCGUUUCCGUUCGUUCGGUUCCUCAUCUUUCCUUGUGCAUUAUCUUCAAGGAAUCCUUAUACGCAACCACUGUGAACAGGUACGAAGAGAAGAUUGGACAUAGGAUGUGCCUUAGUUAACAAGAAACGGAUUAGUGUAGUUUAUUUAUGUCUCG